UGGGGAAUAUUGCACAAUGGGCGCAAGCCUGAUGCAGCCAUGCCGCGUGUGUGAAGAAGGCCUUCGGGUUGUAAAGCACUUUCAGCGAGGAGGAAGGUGGUGGACUUAAUACGUUCAUCAAUUGACGUUACUCGCAGAAGAAGCACCGGCUAACUCCGUGCCAGCAGCCGCGGUAAUACGGAGGGUGCAAGCGUUAAUCGGAAUUACUGGGCGUAAAGCGCACGCAGGCGGUUUGUUAAGUCAGAUGUGAAAUCCCCGGGCUCAACCUGGGAACUGCAUUUGAAACUGGCAAGCUAGAGUCUCGUAGAGGGGGGUAGAAUUCCAGGUGUAGCGGUGAAAUGCGUAGAGAUCUGGAGGAAUACCGGUGGCGAAGGCGGCCCCCUGGACGAAGACUGACGCUCAGGUGCGAAAAGCGUGGGGAGCAAACAGGAUUAGAUACCCCUGGUAGUCCACGCUGUAAAACGAUGUCGAUUUUGGAGGUUGUGCCCUUGAGGCGUGGCUUCCGGAGCUAACGCGUUAAAUCGACCGCCUGGGGAGUACGGCCGCAAGGUUAAAACUUAAAUGAAUUG
RNAcentral lists this ribosomal RNA (569 nucleotides) under uncultured bacterium. RNAcentral's name for it is "partial 16S ribosomal RNA". It matches the Rfam family "Bacterial small subunit ribosomal RNA", at positions 355 to 912 of the family's 1533-position model. The record is from RNAcentral.